Molecule: ribosomal RNA, 1028 nt
Filed under: uncultured Neocallimastigales
Lineage: Eukaryota; Fungi; Neocallimastigomycota; Neocallimastigomycetes; Neocallimastigales
Description: partial large subunit ribosomal RNA
Rfam family: Eukaryotic large subunit ribosomal RNA (bases 246-1028)
Source: RNAcentral
UACUAGAGUAGCACUCGCAUAUCAAUAAGCGGAGGAAAAGAGGGUAUACCUACGCUUAGGAUGUUGAGGAUGUAGCACAUCAUACACGCAUGACACACUGCAUAUCAAUAAGCGGAGGAAAAGAGGGCUAUUACCUACGCUUAGGAUGUUGACACACGCGCGUGCUCGACUCUAUACAUGACUCUGUGCAUAUCAAUAAGCGGAGGAAAAGUCAAUACCUACGCUUAGGAUGUUGACGAGUCUGUCGAUCUCAUCUAUACAUGACUCUGUGCAUAUCAAUAAGCGGAGGAAAAGAAACUAACAAGGAUUCCCCUAGUAACGGCGAGUGAAGCGGGAAGAGCUCAAAUUUGAAAUCUUAAAGGGUUUCCCUUUACGAAUUGUAGUUUAAAGAAGUGUUUUCUGUUGAGGUUUUGGUAAAAGUUCUUUGGAAUAGGACAUCAUAGAGGGUGAGAAUCCCGUAUUUGACCUUUACUUUCAACUUUGUGAUACACUUUCAAAGAGUCGGAUUGUUUGGGAAUGCAGUCCAAAAUGGGUGGUAAAUUUCAUCUAAAGCUAAAUAUUGGCGAGAGACCGAUAGCGAACAAGUACCGUGAGGGAAAGAUGAAAAGAACUUUGAAAAGAGAGUUAAACAGUACGUGAAAUUGUCAAAAGGGAAGCGUUUGACACCAGUGUUGUUUUUCUGAAAAUCAAUUAAAGAACUGUUUAUACUAAGCUGUUUAGACUUUAUCAGCUAUCUGUUUAGUUUUGAGCUUUUCUUUAAUGCACUUUUCAGUUAACAAGUCAACAUCAAUUUCUUUUGCUGUAAAAAAGCUUGAGGAAGGUGGCUUGAGAUUCGUCUUAAGUGUUUAUAGCCUCUUGCCUAUGCAGUCGGAGAGAUUGAGGUCUGCAGCGUAGAUCCUUCGGGGCUAAAUGCAUUUGUGCUAAGUUAUAGCAUUUUAUAGACAACUUGUUGACUAUGAUUUGUCUUGUAGCUUACUCGCUUAUGUUAUUUUACCUACGCUUAGGAUGUUGAAGACUCUACAGAGAUA